Long non-coding RNA from Alosa sapidissima (American shad), 285 nucleotides. RefSeq lists it as uncharacterized. The transcript has 3 exons. The record is from RefSeq and is a predicted model, not a curated record. Lineage: Eukaryota; Metazoa; Chordata; Actinopteri; Clupeiformes; Clupeidae.
CCUAAAAAGUGUAUGCUCUUUUCAGAAUUUGUUCUACGUUGUUCAUUUUCUAAAUGAAAAUUCGAUUGCUGUGGCACCUGCCUCGUGGGUGGAGGAAAAAGAUGGGAUUUGCUACUGGCCGAGAAAAAAUUCUACAGCCAUGGUCAAAACCAGCCAGAUGCCUGAUAAGGCCUACUGGAACAAGUAUAAAAUAAAAAUAAUUUACAAAACCGAUAACUACAUGAAAGCAAGGACACGGGCAAGGCAAGCCAUAGAAACAUCGAAUGUUGAGAGUGAGGAAGAGAC